RNAcentral lists this transfer RNA (72 nucleotides) under Phrynosoma platyrhinos (Desert horned lizard). RNAcentral describes it as "tRNA-OTHER". The record is from RNAcentral. Lineage: Eukaryota; Metazoa; Chordata; Lepidosauria; Squamata; Phrynosomatidae.
GCCAGUAUGGCGUAGUGGUUUGAGCAUUGGACUAGGACUCUGGAGAUCAAGGUUCGAAUCCCAGUCCAGCCG